CUUGCUAUCCAGAGAGCGGCGUACGGGUGCGUAACACGUGUGCAACCUGCCUUUAUCUGGGGGAUAGCCUUUCGAAAGGAAGAUUAAUACCCCAUAAUAUGGUGUCCGGCAUCGGUCGCCAUUGAAAGCCUCGGCGGAUAGAGAUGGGCACGCGCAAGAUUAGAUAGUUGGCGGGGUAACGGCCCACCAAGUCGAUGAUCUUUAGGGGUCCUGAGAGGGAGAUCCCCCACACUGGUACUGAGACACGGACCAGACUCCUACGGGAGGCAGCAGUGAGGAAUAUUGGACAAUGGGUGGAAGCCUGAUCCAGCCAUCCCGCGUGAAGGAUGACGGUCCUAUGGAUUGUAAACUUCUUUUGUACAGGGAUAAACCUGCCCUCGUGAGGGCAGCUGAAGGUACUGUACGAAUAAGCACCGGCUAACUCCGUGCCAGCAGCCGCGGUAAUACGGAGGGUGCGAGCGUUAUCCGGAUUUAUUGGGUUUAAAGGGUCCGUAGGCGGGCCUGUAAGUCAGUGGUGAAAUCUCAUAGCUUAACUAUGAAACUGCCAUUGAUACUGCAGGCCUUGAGUAAAUUUGAAGUGGCUGGAAUAAGUAGUGUAGCGGUGAAAUGCAUAGAUAUUACUUAGAACACCGAUUGCGAAGGCAGGUCACUAAGAUUUAACUGACGCUGAUGGACGAAAGCGUGGGGAGCGAACAGGGUUAGAUACCCUGGUAGUCCACGCCGUAAACGAUGCUAACUCGUUUUUGGAUCUUCGGGUUCAGAGACCAAGCGAAAGUGAUAAGUUAGCCACCUGGGGAGUACGUCCGCAAGGAUGAAACUCAAAGGAAUUGACGGGGGCCCGCACAAGCGGUGGAUUAUGUGGUUUAAUUCGAUGAUACGCGAGGAACCUUACCAAGACUUAAAUGGGAAUUGACAGAUUUAGAAAUAGAUCCUCCUUCGGGCAAUUUUCAAGGCGCUGCAUGGUUGUCGUCAGCUCGUGCCGUGAGGUGUUAGGUUAAGUCCUGCAACGAGCGCAACCCCUGCCAACAGUUGCCAUCAUUCAGUUGGGGACUCUGUUGGGACUGCCUACGCAAGUAGAGAGGAAGGUGGGGAUGACGUCAAAUCAUCACGGCCCUUACGUCUUGGGCCACACACGUAAUACAAUGGCCGGUACAGAGGGCAGCUACCUGGUGACAGGAUGCGAAUCUCGAAAGCCGGUCUCAGUUCGGAUUGGAGUCUGCAACUCGACUCUAUGAAGCUGGAAUCGCUAGUAAUCGCGCAUCAGCCAUGGCGCGGUGAAUACGUUCCCGGGCC
Molecule: ribosomal RNA, 1293 nt
Filed under: uncultured Bacteroidota bacterium
Lineage: Bacteria; Pseudomonadati; Bacteroidota
Description: bacterial SSU rRNA
Rfam family: Bacterial small subunit ribosomal RNA
Source: RNAcentral